CAGUAAGGAACCUGGAACAUCGAAGUACAGUAAGAAACCUGAAACAUCGAAGUACAGUAAGGAACCUGAAAC
Molecule: long non-coding RNA, 72 nt
Organism: Mytilus californianus (California mussel)
Lineage: Eukaryota; Metazoa; Mollusca; Bivalvia; Mytilida; Mytilidae
Exons: 3
Source: RefSeq, a predicted model, not a curated record